This 1479-nucleotide long non-coding RNA is filed under the name Polistes fuscatus (common paper wasp). RNAcentral describes it as "uncharacterized LOC122523080". Lineage: Eukaryota; Metazoa; Arthropoda; Insecta; Hymenoptera; Vespidae. The record is from RNAcentral.
AUGUCUUACAUCACUAUUUUAAUUAAGUAUUCUAACCUUGAUUCUAGUUUCUUUGAGUUUUUUUUUAAUCUUUUAUUUUUAUUUGAAAAGAAUUUAAUUGACAAGAUUAACAGAAACUCGACUUUGACGAUAAUAAAAUAUCUCAUUAAAAUUUAUACAACAUAUAGAAAUGCUAAUUAUCUCUUAUUAUGUUUAACAUAAUCGAUAAUUUCAAUUUUGAUAAAAUAUCAGGAUGUAUUUUUUAAUACAUGUAAUUUAUUAUGUUUAACGUAAUCGGUAAUUCCAAUUUCCAAAAAUUAUCAGGAUGUAUUUUUUAAUACACGUAUUUUUAACGAACUUAGAUACUAAUAGUUUGUUUAAGAAAAAUAAUUAUGUUACUUGCGUUUAUCGAUACCUGAUAUUAUUCAAAAUUUCAAAAUCAUUUGAUAUUUUAACGAUAGACACUUCGGAUCUAAUAUAGGAACUCUUUUUGUGAUUCGAUUCAAAAAAGUUUGGUGGAUGCUAAUUGUAGUAAAAUAAUGCGAGAAAUAGAGAUAAAAAAGCAUUAUCGUUGGAUUCAUGGUAAUUUUCGUCUUCGUAAAAUACUUAUUAGUUAUCAACAAUGAAAAAUAUCGCAAUGUGUCAAGAAGGAAAAAUAAAUUUUUAAUAAAAAUCCUACUUACACAGUUCCAAAUCGUCAGAAACAUCAAGUGUCCAGGAUUAAAGUUUUUAAAUAAAUUGCUGUAUGGUGGGAAAAAUGGCAUUUUAUUGAUAUUAAUUAUCGAAGCAAGGGCCAUGGAGAGAAGCCCACUGUGAAUUAAAAAUUCCAUCUUGUGUCAGAUUUUUCCUGAAACAAAUCAAAACAAAAAAAAGAAGACAUAUUUUAAUUUAUUGAUUUAUUUCAAUUUCUUUUCGAAUUAAUGUAUGUGAAAGCGGCUUGUAAUAAGUUUAUUCUGAAGUUGUAUGAGUUUUACGCAUUUGAAUCGAUAUGUAUUUAUGUAUGUGUGUGUAUGCGUGCAUGCGAAUCUUUGUAUGCAUGUGUAUAAAUUAUAAUCGAGACGAGAUGCAAAAAGUCUUGAUCGUAAGACAAAAAUUCCAAAUAAUAAAUUAGUAAUUUUCUUAUGUAAAUAGAUGAAUUUACAAUAAAAAAUGUCAUCAAAAAAUUGAUACAUAUUUAAACAGACACGUGAGUCUAUUUAUCAACGAUUAUUCGUUUAAAAUAAUAUUUUUUGUUUAGAUAAUAUAAUCGAAGAAUUUUAGUAUGUCAUAGAUGAUUUUUGUUUUCAUGUUUGCAAUAGCGUGUGCAAUGUGCGAUACGUAAGAGAAAUAAAUUAUUGAAGUUAAUACUUGAUUGUGGUAAUUAUGAUCGAUGAAAUGAUCGUGUUCAAAAUCAAAAUGACUUUUAUUCGAUCUUAUUUGUUAUAACAUCGUUCAUUUCUAAUGUAUUUGAAUGUAACUAAAAAUUUUUCAGUUUAAAAUACAAAAAUGAUUACACUCGCA